Molecule: ribosomal RNA, 433 nt
Filed under: uncultured bacterium
Lineage: Bacteria
Description: partial 16S ribosomal RNA
Rfam family: Bacterial small subunit ribosomal RNA
Source: RNAcentral
AACGAACGCUGGCGGCAUGCCUAACACAUGCAAGUCGAACGAGACCUUCGGGUCUAGUGGCGCACGGGUGCGUAACGCGUGGGAAUCUGCCCUUGGGUUCGGAAUAACAGUUGGAAACGACUGCUAAUACCGGAUGAUGACGUAAGUCCAAAGAUUUAUCGCCCAAGGAUGAGCCCGCGUAGGAUUAGCUAGUUGGUGAGGUAAAGGCUCACCAAGGCGACGAUCCUUAGCUGGUCUGAGAGGAUGAUCAGCCACACUGGGACUGAGACACGGCCCAGACUCCUACGGGAGGCAGCAGUGGGGAAUAUUGGACGAUGGGCGAAAGCCUGAUCCAGCAAUGCCGCGUGAGUGAUGAAGGCCUUAGGGUUGUAAAGCUCUUUUACCCGGGAUGAUAAUGACAGUACCGGGAGAAUAAGCACCGGCUAACUCCGUG